UACAGAGGUGGCAAGCGUUGUUCGGAUUUACUGGGCGUAAAGGGCGCGUAGGCGGCAUGACGAGUCACUUGUGAAAUCUCCGGGCUUAACUCGGAACGGCCAAGUGAUACUGUCAAGCUAGAGUGCAGAAAGGGCAAUCGGAAUUCUUGGUGUAGCGGUGAAAUGCGUAGAUAUCGAGAGGAACACCUGCGGCGAAGGCGGGUAGCUGGGCCGACACUGACGCUGAGGCGCGAAAGCCAGGGGAGCGAACGGG
RNAcentral lists this ribosomal RNA (253 nucleotides) under uncultured bacterium. RNAcentral describes it as "partial 16S ribosomal RNA". It matches the Rfam family "Bacterial small subunit ribosomal RNA", at positions 524 to 776 of the family's 1533-position model. The record is from RNAcentral.